RNAcentral lists this ribosomal RNA (384 nucleotides) under Burkholderia sp. FER13. Its description in RNAcentral is "bacterial SSU rRNA". It matches the Rfam family "Bacterial small subunit ribosomal RNA", at positions 967 to 1358 of the family's 1533-position model. Lineage: Bacteria; Pseudomonadati; Pseudomonadota; Betaproteobacteria; Burkholderiales; Burkholderiaceae. The record is from RNAcentral.
AACCUUACCUACCCUUGACAUGUACGGAAUCCUGCUGAGAGGCGGGAGUGCCCGAAAGGGAGCCGUAACACAGGUGCUGCAUGGCUGUCGUCAGCUCGUGUCGUGAGAUGUUGGGUUAAGUCCCGCAACGAGCGCAACCCUUGUCCCUAGUUGCUACGCAAGAGCACUCCAGGGAGACUGCCGGUGACAAACCGGAGGAAGGUGGGGAUGACGUCAAGUCCUCAUGGCCCUUAUGGGUAGGGCUUCACACGUCAUACAAUGGUCGGAACAGAGGGUUGCCAAGCCGCGAGGUGGAGCCAAUCCCAGAAAACCGUCUAUCCGGAUCGCAGUCUGCAACUCGACUGCGUGAAGCUGGAAUCGCUAGUAAUCGCGGAUCAGCAUGCC